Molecule: ribosomal RNA, 647 nt
Filed under: bacterium HN32-5
Lineage: Bacteria
Description: bacterial SSU rRNA
Rfam family: Bacterial small subunit ribosomal RNA
Source: RNAcentral
CCUACGGGAGGCAGCAGUAGGGAAUCUUCCGCAAUGGACGAAAGUCUGACGGAGCAACGCCGCGUGAGUGAUGAAGGUUUUCGGAUCGUAAAGCUCUGUUGUUAGGGAAGAACAAGUGCAAGAGUAACUGCUUGCACCUUGACGGUACCUAACCAGAAAGCCACGGCUAACUACGUGCCAGCAGCCGCGGUAAUACGUAGGUGGCAAGCGUUGUCCGGAAUUAUUGGGCGUAAAGGGCUCGCAGGCGGUUUCUUAAGUCUGAUGUGAAAGCCCCCGGCUCAACCGGGGAGGGUCAUUGGAAACUGGGAAACUUGAGUGCAGAAGAGGAGAGUGGAAUUCCACGUGUAGCGGUGAAAUGCGUAGAGAUGUGGAGGAACACCAGUGGCGAAGGCGACUCUCUGGUCUGUAACUGACGCUGAGGAGCGAAAGCGUGGGGAGCGAACAGGAUUAGAUACCCUGGUAGUCCACGCCGUAAACGAUGAGUGCUAAGUGUUAGGGGGUUUCCGCUCCCUUAGUGCUGACAGCUAACGCAUUAAGCACUCCGCCUGGGGAGUACGGUCGCAAGACUGAAACUCAAAGGAAUUGACGGGGGCCCGCACAAGCGGUGGAGCAUGUGGUUUAAUUCGAAGCAACGCGAAGAACCUUAC